UGGGGCAGCCUUACAUGUGUGCUUGCUUCACCGGUGCAUGCAUCGCCAUAACAACCAAGCAAGUAGGCAUCAUCAACAUCUCCUCACCACUUUCCUGGCAACAGAGAAAGAGUCAAAACAAAAUAUAUUAGACCAUAAUAUGACAACGGAGCACAGAUCAGUAACUGUAAAUCACAAUGUAUAUUCACAACACCAUAAAAUAGUCCCAGAAAUAGGAGGAGGAUGUCUUAUCAACAAACUGAACUUAGAAAUGAAACUUUGUAAUGCUCAAGUUUCAGCUAAUAGGGAUUACAGAAUUUUAGAUGGGACAAAUUCUUCUAGUUGCACUUAUCACAGAUAGAAGAGUUUAUAGUGAAGAAACAUUUGCAAUCAAAGACACAGCCUGGAACAUAUCAAUUUCGAGGUGCAGUUUGUAUACAAUCGGACAUCUCAGGUUGUAUACUACUCAUGAUAAUUCCACUAAUCUAUGGAGUCAAGGGAUGCAACUUGUCAAUAGCAUUUGAGGGGCAGAAGCUAAUCCACAAUGGCAAUAGAACUAACAUUCAGAGCAUCAUUAUCGAUUUCAAAAGAGCAAGCAUGAUAUUGCAUCCAAAUGAGUAGGUAGCUCUCCAAAUGAGUUAUGAUGCAUCAAUGAGUUCCAAAAAGACCCUACGGCUCAUUUGUUCAAACUAUUCCUGAUCUCAUGGAUGCCAACACAUGCACUCCUCAUGCAUGAAUGCAUUGUAAAUUUGUAAUUGUAGCAUAAUCUGGAGAGAAGUGCAGGGUAAGAGUGGUGCUCUGUUGCUACGUAAAAGAAAGCAGAGGAUGCUACUAAAGCAACAACACAAAUGGGCAAAAACAACAGCGACUGGGCUAGCGAAGCCGCCUGAGCUGACCAAGUAUAGGUAAACUUGGCUCAGACCAAACUCUGAUCGACGAUGAGAAUCAAACAUUCAUCAAUGAAGCCCAAAGAUGCGAGACAAACAUCAUUCAGCACCACAAUCAGCUUUAUGUUGCAGACAAGCUAGUUUUAUACUUGAAAAAUGUCGCAUGAAUGAAUGUACUUGAGAUUAUCCUAAAUUAUUACUGGAGAUUAAUAAAAUAUACUUGCCAUGCUUCAUCCAUAAGACCUAAACUAAACAAACCUGACUUAUAAACUUGUGCAUCCUACCAUUUUAGUUAUAGGGAACUUCACUGCCUAGCUGUAGAUCAGUGGCUGCUGGAGGAAAGAAGACUCUGGACGCGUUUGGCGCGUGCGACACAUAACAAUAUAAGACCAUCAGGUUAAAUGAAUAAGCAUCAGGAUUUCUUAAUCAAAUUUGUUCAUAUCAAGUUCAUGAAACUAAAGAACGGCUAACUCCAGUGAUGUUGCUGCUCAAUUAGCAGUGCAGUUUCCUAUA
Molecule: long non-coding RNA, 1379 nt
Filed under: Triticum aestivum (bread wheat)
Lineage: Eukaryota; Viridiplantae; Streptophyta; Magnoliopsida; Poales; Poaceae
Description: long non-coding RNA (TAES_LNC024943)
Source: RNAcentral